AGUGAACGCUGGCGGUAGGCCUAACACAUGCAAGUCGAACGGCAGCACAGGAGAGCUUGCUCUCUGGGUGGCGAGUGGCGGACGGGUGAGGAAUACAUCGGAAUCUGCCCAGUCGUGGGGGAUAACGUAGGGAAACUUACGCUAAUACCGCAUACGACCUUCGGGUGAAAGAGGGGGAUCGCAAGACCUCUCGCGAUUGGAUGAGCCGAUGUCGGAUUAGCUAGUUGGCGGGGUAAUGGCCCACCAAGGCGACGAUCCGUAGCUGGUCUGAGAGGAUGAUCAGCCACACUGGAACUGAGACACGGUCCAGACUCCUACGGGAGGCAGCAGUGGGGAAUAUUGGACAAUGGGCGCAAGCCUGAUCCAGCCAUACCGCGUGGGUGAAGAAGGCCUUCGGGUUGUAAAGCCCUGUUGUUGGGAAAGAAAUCUUUCAGGCUAAUACCCUGGGAGGAUGACGGUACCCAAAGAGUAAGCACCGGCUAACUUCGUG
RNAcentral lists this ribosomal RNA (490 nucleotides) under uncultured bacterium. Its description in RNAcentral is "partial 16S ribosomal RNA". It matches the Rfam family "Bacterial small subunit ribosomal RNA", at positions 29 to 507 of the family's 1533-position model. The record is from RNAcentral.